Molecule: ribosomal RNA, 486 nt
Filed under: uncultured bacterium
Lineage: Bacteria
Description: bacterial SSU rRNA
Rfam family: Bacterial small subunit ribosomal RNA
Source: RNAcentral
AUUGAACGCUGGCGGCAUGCCUUACACAUGCAAGUCGAACGGCAGGCACGGGAGCAAUCCUGGUGGCGAGUGGGCGAACGGGUGAGUAAUAUAUCGGAACGUGCCCAGUCGUGGGGGAUAACGUAGCGAAAGCUACGCUAAUACCGCAUACGAUCUACGGAUGAAAGCGGGGGAUCGCAAGACCUCGCGCGAUUGGAGCGGCCGAUAUCAGAUUAGGUAGUUGGUGAGGUAAAGGCUCACCAAGCCGACGAUCUGUAGCUGGUCUGAGAGGACGACCAGCCACACUGGGACUGAGACACGGCCCAGACUCCUACGGGAGGCAGCAGUGGGGAAUUUUGGACAAUGGGCGCAAGCCUGAUCCAGCAAUGCCGCGUGCAGGAUGAAGGCCUUCGGGUUGUAAACUGCUUUUGUACGGAACGAAACGGUGAGCUCUAAUACAGUUUGCUAAUGACGGUACCGUAAGAAUAAGCACCGGCUAACUACGUG